UAGGGAAUCUUCGGCAAUGGACGAAAGUCUGACCGAGCAACGCCGCGUGAGUGAAGAAGGUUUUCGGAUCGUAAAACUCUGUUGUUAGAGAAGAACAAGGACGUUAGUAACUGAACGUCCCCUGACGGUAUCUAACCAGAAAGCCACGGCUAACUACGUGCCAGCAGCCGCGGUAAUACGUAGGUGGCAAGCGUUGUCCGGAUUUAUUGGGCGUAAAGCGAGCGCAGGCGGUUUCUUAAGUCUGAUGUGAAAGCCCCCGGCUCAACCGGGGAGGGUCAUUGGAAACUGGGAGACUUGAGUGCAGAAGAGGAGAGUGGAAUUCCAUGUGUAGCGGUGAAAUGCGUAGAUAUAUGGGGGAGCACCAGUGGCGAAGGCGGCUCUCUGGUCUGUAACUGACGCUGAGGCUCGAAAGCGUGGGGAGCAAACAGG
This 429-nucleotide ribosomal RNA is filed under the name Chloroflexota bacterium. Its description in RNAcentral is "Chloroflexi bacterium partial 16S ribosomal RNA". It matches the Rfam family "Bacterial small subunit ribosomal RNA", at positions 355 to 776 of the family's 1533-position model. Lineage: Bacteria; Bacillati; Chloroflexota. The record is from RNAcentral.